Molecule: long non-coding RNA, 1019 nt
Filed under: Dasypus novemcinctus (nine-banded armadillo)
Lineage: Eukaryota; Metazoa; Chordata; Mammalia; Cingulata; Dasypodidae
Description: lncRNA (ENSDNOG00000052380.1)
Source: RNAcentral
CCCCCCCAUUUUUCCUUUCUCUUUUCUCGCUCUUUUGUUCCUCUUUCACACUCGCACUCACUACUUCAGAGGGAGAUGCCCGGGGACGCCCCCUCGCCCCCUCCCCGAGUCGCUGGCCCACUUUUUUUCCCCGGGAUUAAGUUUUCUCCUCUUUCCCAGAGGCGGCGAGAAGUGGGGGAGAAACCCCUUCUGUCCUUUCCCCUCCCCGGGUCUGUUUCACAAGGGCAGGGUGCGCUUCCUUCCCUCGGUAGGUCUCGGAACUUUCAUCCUCGCCCAGGAAAAGCAACGAAUGGCUUGGGCACGCACAGAUCUCCAGAUUAACGAGCGAUUCGAGCAGAUCCGCCGCUUCUUACCCCCAAAUUUUCGCUUUUUUUUUUCUCCGUCUCACGAGUAGUCCUGACAAAUGGUCCAGGGCUGCGGGCGCAGUGCGCAUGUGCGCGUAGAGUCAGGGCUGGGGAGAGGGGAAACUGCGCUGGUGCCGGUGCCGCCGCCGCCGCCGCCGCCGGGGAGCCUCGCGCGGCCUCGCCGCCACUGCCGCUGCGCCUCCGCCGCUGCAAGGCGGCGAGCGAGGCGCCUGGCGAAUGCAGCUGCCCGCAGACCCCGCUUCAGGUGCAUCUUUUCGCUAGCCCCGCCGCCGGCUCGGGGGCGCGGCGAGAGCGGUCAAAACAAAUAGGAAAGACGACGAAGCACUUAGUGCAGUUCAUUGCACAUGAUGGGAGCUCAAUAAAUACUUGUGGAAUAGAACAGAAUGGAAUGGAAGUUAACUUCAGCCAUCAACAAUGCUCUGGGCCAGAAAUGACACCACCUGAUGGAUGGGCCUUCCUAAGAAUCGUGCUCUUCAACAAAAAAGAUAAAAAACGCAAAGAUCAAAACCUUGAAACCAUAGCUACAUCGUUCAGUACAGGUACCUACAGCUCUCAGGGAUUCUAUUCAUCAUCUUCAGUAAAUGUGACUAUCAACUUGUAUCUGAAUUAAUUUUCUAAAAUUAUAAAUGUAAAGCCAUGAUUUAAAUAUGAAUG